UGGGGAAUAUUGGACAAUGGGCGCAAGCCUGAUCCAGCCAUGCCGCGUGAGUGAAGAAGGCCUUAGGGUUGUAAAGCUCUUUCAGUCAUGAAGAUAAUGACGGUAAUGACAGAAGAAGCCCCGGCUAACUCCGUGCCAGCAGCCGCGGUAAUACGGAGGGGGCUAGCGUUGUUCGGAAUUACUGGGCGUAAAGCGCACGUAGGCGGAUUGGUCAGUUGGGGGUGAAAUCCCGAGGCUUAACCUCGGAACUGCCUUCAAAACUGCCAGUCUUGAGUCCGGGAGAGGUGAGUGGAAUUCCUAGUGUAGAGGUGAAAUUCGUAGAUAUUAGGAAGAACACCAGUGGCGAAGGCGGCUCACUGGCCCGGUACUGACGCUGAGGUGCGAAAGCGUGGGGAGCAAACAGGAUUAGAUACCCCCGUAGUCC
This 424-nucleotide ribosomal RNA is filed under the name uncultured prokaryote. Its description in RNAcentral is "bacterial SSU rRNA". It matches the Rfam family "Bacterial small subunit ribosomal RNA", at positions 355 to 796 of the family's 1533-position model. The record is from RNAcentral.